GCAUCGAUAGCUCACUGGCAGAGCGGUGGGGCGUGGAGCCAUGCGGCCCGGGUUCGAGCCCCGGUCGAUACA
This is a non-coding RNA of Phthorimaea operculella (potato tuberworm), 72 nucleotides long. The record is from the annotation of a GenBank genome assembly. NCBI's taxonomy places the organism in Eukaryota, Metazoa, Arthropoda, Insecta, Lepidoptera, Gelechiidae.